AUUGAACGCUGGCGGCAUGCUUUACACAUGCAAGUCGAACGGUAACAGGCCGCAAGGUGCUGACGAGUGGCGAACGGGUGAGUAAUGCAUCGGAACGUGCCCAGUCGUGGGGGAUAACGCAGCGAAAGCUGCGCUAAUACCGCAUACGAUCUAUGGAUGAAAGCGGGGGACCGUAAGGCCUCGCGCGAUUGGAGCGGCCGAUGUCAGAUUAGGUAGUUGGUGGGGUAAAGGCUCACCAAGCCAACGAUCUGUAGCUGGUCUGAGAGGACGACCAGCCACACUGGGACUGAGACACGGCCCAGACUCCUACGGGAGGCAGCAGUGGGGAAUUUUGGACAAUGGGCGCAAGCCUGAUCCAGCAAUGCCGCGUGCAGGAAGAAGGCC
RNAcentral lists this ribosomal RNA (384 nucleotides) under uncultured bacterium. RNAcentral's name for it is "bacterial SSU rRNA". It matches the Rfam family "Bacterial small subunit ribosomal RNA", at positions 29 to 416 of the family's 1533-position model. The record is from RNAcentral.